RNAcentral lists this long non-coding RNA (342 nucleotides) under Homarus americanus (American lobster). RNAcentral's name for it is "uncharacterized LOC121864803, transcript variant X1". Lineage: Eukaryota; Metazoa; Arthropoda; Malacostraca; Decapoda; Nephropidae. The record is from RNAcentral.
CAUAAAAGGCAGCGGGCAAGAGGAACUCCUCAGUCUGGCUGGUGGCGGCGCGACGCUGGGUACAUACACACUCACACACUGGUUCCAUUUUCGCUGUUUGAGCUAAGAAUACUGUCAACUGUAAACAGUGAAGGAGAUGGCUCGCUAUCUGAACUACUUGGCGUGGCCCUGGCUGUUGGCUCUCUGCUUCUCGCUCACAGUUGCACAAUAUGGGAACUAUGGAGGUGGUGGUGGUGGAGGCGAUAGACAGAUUGGACGCCCGCCUCAUAUUGACAAUGAACAAGGUUACAUUGGUGGUGAUAAUGCUCCUAGACCAGGCUCGGUAAUAUUAACAACUCACAU